RNAcentral lists this ribosomal RNA (403 nucleotides) under Fusobacteriota bacterium. RNAcentral's name for it is "Fusobacteria bacterium partial 16S ribosomal RNA". It matches the Rfam family "Bacterial small subunit ribosomal RNA", at positions 355 to 776 of the family's 1533-position model. The record is from RNAcentral. Lineage: Bacteria; Fusobacteriati; Fusobacteriota.
UGGGGAAUAUUGCACAAUGGAGGGAACUCUGAUGCAGCGACGCCGCGUGAACGAAGAAGGCUUUCGAGUUGUAAAGUUCUUUUAUAUGGGAAGAUAAUGACGGUACCAUAAGAAAAAGCCCCGGCUAACUACGUGCCAGCAGCCGCGGUAAUACGUAGGGGGCUAGCGUUGUCCGGAAUCACUGGGCGUAAAGGGUUCGCAGGCGGGAAUGCAAGUCAGGUGUAAAAGGCAGUAGCUUAACUACUGUAAGCAUUUGAAACUGCAUAACUUGAGAAGAGUAGAGGUAAGUGGAAUUUUUAGUGUAGCGGUGAAAAGCGUAGAUAUAAAAAAGAAUAAAGGGGGCGAAAGCGACUUACUGGGCUCAUUCUGACGCUGAGGGACGAAAGCGUGGGUAGCAAACAGG